GCCCCGGUGGCGAAAUUGGUAGACGCAGCAGACUCAAAAUCUGCCGGCCUUAAAACCAUGCCGGUUCGAGUCCGGCCCGGGGCA
This 84-nucleotide transfer RNA is filed under the name Eggerthia catenaformis OT 569 = DSM 20559. It matches the Rfam family "tRNA". Rfam says of the family: Transfer RNA (tRNA) molecules are approximately 80 nucleotides in length. Their secondary structure includes four short double-helical elements and three loops (D, anti-codon, and T loops). Lineage: Bacteria; Bacillati; Bacillota; Erysipelotrichia; Erysipelotrichales; Coprobacillaceae. The record is from Rfam by way of RNAcentral.